Molecule: transfer RNA, 73 nt
Filed under: Canis lupus familiaris (dog)
Lineage: Eukaryota; Metazoa; Chordata; Mammalia; Carnivora; Canidae
Also listed under: 1 other name
Rfam family: tRNA
About the family: Transfer RNA (tRNA) molecules are approximately 80 nucleotides in length. Their secondary structure includes four short double-helical elements and three loops (D, anti-codon, and T loops).
Source: Rfam by way of RNAcentral
ACCUGGCUGGCUCAGUCAUUAGAGCAUCUGACUCUUGACCUCAGGGUCAUGAGUUCAAGCCCCAUGUUGGGUG